RNAcentral lists this ribosomal RNA (615 nucleotides) under Escherichia coli. Its description in RNAcentral is "partial 23S ribosomal RNA". It matches the Rfam family "Bacterial large subunit ribosomal RNA", at positions 1273 to 1873 of the family's 2925-position model. Lineage: Bacteria; Pseudomonadati; Pseudomonadota; Gammaproteobacteria; Enterobacterales; Enterobacteriaceae. The record is from RNAcentral.
CUGGAGGUAUCAGAAGUGCGAAUGCUGACAUAAGUAACGAUAAAGCGGGUGAAAAGCCCGCUCGCCGGAAGACCAAGGGUUCCUGUCCAACGUUAAUCGGGGCAGGGUGAGUCGACCCCUAAGGCGAGGCCGAAAGGCGUAGUCGAUGGGAAACAGGUUAAUAUUCCUGUACUUGGUGUUACUGCGAAGGGGGGACGGAGAAGGCUAUGUUGGCCGGGCGACGGUUGUCCCGGUUUAAGCGUGUAGGCUGGUUUUCCAGGCAAAUCCGGAAAAUCAAGGCUGAGGCGUGAUGACGAGGCACUACGGUGCUGAAGCAACAAAUGCCCUGCUUCCAGGAAAAGCCUCUAAGCAUCAGGUAACAUCAAAUCGUACCCCAAACCGACACAGGUGGUCAGGUAGAGAAUACCAAGGCGCUUGAGAGAACUCGGGUGAAGGAACUAGGCAAAAUGGUGCCGUAACUUCGGGAGAAGGCACGCUGAUACGUAGGUGAAGUCCCUCGCGGAUGGAGCUGAAAUCAGUCGAAGAUACCAGCUGGCUGCAACUGUUUAUUAAAAACACAGCACUGUGCAAACACGAAAGUGGACGUAUACGGUGUGACGCCUGCCCGGUGCCGGA